Molecule: unclassified non-coding RNA, 309 nt
Filed under: plant metagenome
Description: partial contains 5.8S ribosomal RNA, internal transcribed spacer 2, and large subunit ribosomal RNA
Rfam family: 5.8S ribosomal RNA (bases 1-105)
Source: RNAcentral
GAAAUGCGAUAAGUAGUGUGAAUUGCAGAAUUCAGUGAAUCAUCGAAUCUUUGAACGCACAUUGCGCCCCUUGGUAUUCCAUGGGGCAUGCCUGUUCGAGCGUCAUUUGUACCCUCAAGCUCUGCUUGGUGUUGGGUGUUUGUCCCGUCUCCGCGCGUGGACUCGCCCCAAAGUGAUUGGCAGCCGGCGUACUGGUCCCGGAGCGCAGCACAUGUCGCGCAAACGAGUGCCUUGGUACAGCGGCGUCCAUAAGCCCCUCUCUCACGCUCUUGACCUCGGAUCAGGUAGGGAUACCCGCUGAACUUAAGC